Molecule: small nuclear RNA, 108 nt
Organism: Pteropus vampyrus (large flying fox)
Lineage: Eukaryota; Metazoa; Chordata; Mammalia; Chiroptera; Pteropodidae
Source: Ensembl
GUGCUUACUUCAGCAGCUCAUAUACUAAAAACUGGAGCCAUACAGAGAAGAUUAGCAUGGCCCCUAUACGAGGAUGACAAGCAAAUCUGUGAAGCGUUCCAUUAAAAA